CCUACGGGAGGCAGCAGUGGGGAAUAUUGCACAAUGGGGGGAACCCUGAUGCAGCGACGCCGCGUGAGUGAAGAAGUAUUUCGGUAUGUAAAGCUCUAUCAGCAGGGAAGAAAAUGACGGUACCUGACUAAGAAGCCACGGCUAACUACGUGCCAGCAGCCGCGGUAAUACGUAGGGGGCAAGCGUUAUCCGGAUUUACUGGGUGUAAAGGGAGCGCAGACGGCUGUGCAAGUCUGGAGUGAAAGGGGGGGGCCCAACCCCCGGACUGCUCUGGAAACUGGAAAGCUGGAGUGCAGGAGAGGUAAGCGGAAUUCCUAGUGUAGCGGUGAAAUGCGUAGAUAUUAGGAGGAACACCAGUGGCGAAGGCGGCUUACUGGACUGCAACUGACGUUGAGGCUCGAAAGCGUGGGGAGCAAACAGGAUUAGAUACCCUUGUAGUC
Molecule: ribosomal RNA, 440 nt
Filed under: uncultured bacterium
Lineage: Bacteria
Description: partial 16S ribosomal RNA
Rfam family: Bacterial small subunit ribosomal RNA
Source: RNAcentral